AUGAAUGCUGGCGGCGUGUCUAAGGCAUGCAAGUCGAACGCUUCUUUAUUGCCCGCAAGAGUGGUGAAGAGGAGUGGCAAACGGGUGCGUAACACAUUGGCAAUCUGCCUCACAAUCGGGCAUAACCUCGCGAAAGCGAGGCUAAUUCCACGAUGGUCUUCUCGAUGUAAAGUCGAAAAGUAAAGCGCAAAACGCGUUGUGAGAGGAGCCUAUGGCCUAUCAGUUAGUUGGUGAGGUAAUGGCUCACCAAGGCAAUGACGGGUAGCGGUUCUGAGAGGAUGAUCCGCCACACUGGUACUGAGACACGGACCAGACUCCUACGGGAGGCAGCAGUGAGGAAUAUUGCACAAUGGGGGGAACCCUGAUGCAGCAACGCCGCGUGGAGGAUGACGCAUUUCGGUGUGUAAACUCCUUUUAUAUGUCAAGAAAAUGACGGUAGCAUAUGAAUAAGCACCGGCUAACUCCGU
RNAcentral lists this ribosomal RNA (467 nucleotides) under uncultured bacterium. RNAcentral describes it as "bacterial SSU rRNA". It matches the Rfam family "Bacterial small subunit ribosomal RNA", at positions 29 to 506 of the family's 1533-position model. The record is from RNAcentral.